This 100-nucleotide small nuclear RNA is filed under the name Microcebus murinus (gray mouse lemur). Lineage: Eukaryota; Metazoa; Chordata; Mammalia; Primates; Cheirogaleidae. The record is from RNAcentral.
GUGCUCGCUUUGGCAACACAUAUACUAAAAUUGGAAUGACAUAGAGAAGAUUAGCAUGGCCCCUGCAAUUUAAAAAAAAGAAAUACUGAAACAAGUCUAU